Molecule: ribosomal RNA, 254 nt
Filed under: uncultured bacterium
Lineage: Bacteria
Description: partial 16S ribosomal RNA
Rfam family: Bacterial small subunit ribosomal RNA
Source: RNAcentral
UACGUAGGGGGCGAGCGUUGUCCGGAUUCAUUGGGCGUAAAGAGCUCGUAGGCGGCUUGGCAAGUCGGAUGUGAAAACUCCAGGCUCAACCUGGAGCCGCCAUUCGAUACUGCUAUGGCUAGAGUCCGGUAGGGGAGUGUGGAAUUCCUGGUGGAGCGGUGAAAUGCGCAGAUAUCAGGAGGAACACCCGUAGCGAAGGCGGCACUCUGGGCCGAUACUGACACUGAGGAGCGAAAGCGCGGGGAGCGAACAGG